UAUAUCCUACGGGAGGCAGCAGUGGGGAAUAUUGCACAAUGGGGGAAACCCUGAUGCAGCGACGCCGCGUGAGUGAAGAAGUAUUUCGGUAUGUAAAGCUCUAUCAGCAGGGAAGAAAAUGACGGUACCUGACUAAGAAGCCCCGGCUAACUACGUGCCAGCAGCCGCGGUAAUACGUAGGGGGCAAGCGUUAUCCGGAUUUACUGGGUGUAAAGGGUGCGUAGGUGGCAGGGCAAGUCAGAUGUGAAAGCCCGGGGCUCAACCCCUGAACUGCUUUGGAAACUGCCAUGCUAGAGUGCUGGAGG
Molecule: ribosomal RNA, 305 nt
Filed under: uncultured bacterium
Lineage: Bacteria
Description: bacterial SSU rRNA
Rfam family: Bacterial small subunit ribosomal RNA
Source: RNAcentral